GGGCGCAGCAAUCAGGAAUCGUGGGCUAUGGGCGAAAGCCUGACCCCGCGACGCCGCGUGCGGGAAGAAGCUCUUCGGAGUGUAAACCGCUGUGGCAGGGGAUGAAGUUCCGAGCAAACUCGGAAUUGACAGUACCCUGCUAGAAAGGGGUCGCUAACUGCGUGCCAGAAGCGUCGGUAAAACGUGGACCCCAAGCGUUAUCCGGUUUUACUGGGCGUAAAGUGUCGUGUAGGCGGUUAAGGAAGUCGUGAUUCAAAGCCCAAGACUUAAUCUUGGGAAGGGUCACGAUACUCCUUAACUAGAGGUUACUCUAGGGAGACUGGAAUUCCGGGAGGAGCGGUGAAAUGCGUUGAUACCCGGAAGAACACCAGUGGCGAAGGCGAGUCUCUGGGAGUAACCUGACGCUGAGGCACGAAAGCUAGGGGAGCGAACCGGAUUAGAGACCCGGGUAGUCCUAGCCCUAAACGCAUGCUGGCUAUCUGCAUUUCUCUCACGUGAGUGAGAGGGGUGUGGUGAAGCUAACGCGUUAAGCCAGCCGCCUGGGGAGUACGGCCGCAAGGCUUGAAACUCAAAGGAAUUGGCGGGGAGGCACACAACCAGUUGGAGCAUGUGGUUCAAUUCGAGACGAACCGAAGAACCUCACCAGGGCUUGACAUGCUAGUGGUACUAACCCGAAAGGGAAGGGACCUCAGCUUUGCUGAGGAGCUAGCACAGGUGCUGCAUGGCUGUCGUCAGCUCGUUCCGUGAGGAGUGCCCUUAAGUGGGACAACGAGCGCAACCCCCGCCCUGUGUUACAAGUGUCACAGGGGACAGGUCCGGCAUAUAGCCGGACAGGAAGGAGGGGUCGACGUCAAGUCAGCAUGGCCCUUAUGCCCUGGGCUACACACAUGCUACAAUGAGCAGUACAAUGGGUUGCGAACCCGCGAGGGGGAGCUAAUCCCAAAAAACUGCUCUCAGUGGGGAUUGCAGGCUGAAACCCGCCUGCAUGAACCCGGAAUUGGUAGUAAUCGGGGAUCAGCCAUGCCCCGGUGAAUACGUUCUUGCCUCUUGUCACACACCGUCCCGUCAAGCCACCAAAGUCGGGAAUUGCCGAAUCGUCCCGUCUAAGCGGGUGAGAGGCAGUU
RNAcentral lists this ribosomal RNA (1124 nucleotides) under uncultured bacterium. Its description in RNAcentral is "bacterial SSU rRNA". It matches the Rfam family "Bacterial small subunit ribosomal RNA", at positions 344 to 1466 of the family's 1533-position model. The record is from RNAcentral.